Molecule: non-coding RNA, 165 nt
Filed under: bovine gut metagenome
Description: Lysine riboswitch
Rfam family: Lysine riboswitch aptamer
About the family: Riboswitches are metabolite binding domains within certain messenger RNAs that serve as precision sensors for their corresponding targets. Allosteric rearrangement of mRNA structure is mediated by ligand binding, and this results in modulation of gene expression. This family includes riboswitches that sense lysine in a number of genes involved in lysine metabolism, including lysC.
Source: RNAcentral
GAAAGUAGAGGUCGCGCGACCGAUGAGUAAUCCGGCGGAUGUCCGUUUGCAGGUGAUCCCGGAUGAAAGGCGGUCGUGCCGAAGCGGGCAUAUGAUACGGCAUAUGUCUGCUGGGCGCAAGCUUAACAGGCUUGCGACUGUCAUCGGGUGAUGGAGAGCUACUUA